UACGGAGGAUCCGAGUGUUAUCCGGAUUUACUGGGUUUAAAGGGUGUGUAGGCGGGCUUUUAAGUCUGGGGUGAAAUCUCCGAGCUCAACUCGGAAACUGCCUUGGAUACUAUUAGUCUUGAAUUAUGUUGAGGUUGGCGGAAUAUAACAUGUAGCGGUGAAAUGCAUAGAUAUGUUAUAGAACACCGAUUGCGAAGGCAGCUAACUAAGCAUAUAUUGACGCUGAGGCACGAAAGCGUGGGGAGCAAACAGG
RNAcentral lists this ribosomal RNA (253 nucleotides) under uncultured bacterium. Its description in RNAcentral is "partial 16S ribosomal RNA". It matches the Rfam family "Bacterial small subunit ribosomal RNA", at positions 524 to 776 of the family's 1533-position model. The record is from RNAcentral.